AGCUGCUCCAUGCUCCAUUUGCGCCUCCCCUUCGCAUCUCCAUCUCUAAUUUAUGACUCAUCUUCUUCCUCAACCCAAAAGGGGCAAAAUCACCAUUGAUGAAGCUUGAAGACCCAAGGGUGAGUGGGAGAGUUUCCUAACACCCCCAAAUAGCCUCCAAGGGCCUCUCCCAGUCUCUCUAGGUGAAGAAUGAAGUGUAGGAGGAGAAGUCCCUCAAAAAUCGCGAGACCCAUGUUUAAAUAACCCAUUUUGACAUAUCA
This 260-nucleotide long non-coding RNA is filed under the name Vigna radiata. Its description in RNAcentral is "long non-coding RNA (VRAD_LNC001213)". Lineage: Eukaryota; Viridiplantae; Streptophyta; Magnoliopsida; Fabales; Fabaceae. The record is from RNAcentral.